UGCAGUUAAAAAGCUCGUAGUUGGAUUUCGGGCCCAGGUGACCGGUCCGCCGUUUCGGUGUGCACUGGUUAGCUCGGUCUUUCUGCCGGGGACACGCUCCGUCUUAAUUGCCGGACGUGGAGUCGGCGAUGUUACUUUGAAAAAAUUAGAGUGUUCAAAGCAGGCUUACGCUCUGAAUACUAUAGCAUGGAAUAACACGAUAGGACUCCGAGCCUAUUUUGUUGGUCUUCGGGACCGGAGUAAUGAUUAAGAGGGACAGUUGGGGGCAUUCGUAUUACGGUGUCAGAGGUGAAAUUCUUGGAUUUCCGUAAGACGAACUUCUGCGAAAGCAUUUGCCAAGGAUGUUUUCAUUAAUCAAGAACGAAAGUUGGGGGCUCGAAGAUGAUCAGAUACCGUCGUAGUCUCAACCAUAAACGAUGCCGACUAGGGAUUGCAGGAUGUUAAUUCGAUGACUUCUGCAGCACCUUAAGAGAAAUCAAAGUUUUUGGGUUCCGGGGGGAGUUUGGUCGCAAGGCUGAAACUUAAAGGAAUUGACGGAAGGGCACCACCAGGCGUGGAGCCUGCGGCUUAAUUUGACUCAACACGGGGAAACUUACCAGGUCCAGACAUAGUAAGGAUUGACAGAUUGAGAGCUCUUUCUUGAUUCUAUGGGUGGUGGUGCAUGGCCG
RNAcentral lists this ribosomal RNA (668 nucleotides) under uncultured marine eukaryote. RNAcentral describes it as "SSU rRNA". It matches the Rfam family "Eukaryotic small subunit ribosomal RNA", at positions 614 to 1290 of the family's 1831-position model. The record is from RNAcentral.